UUAGAGUUUGAUCCUGGCUCAGGAUGAACGCUAGCGGCAGGCUUAACACAUGCAAGUCGAGGGGCAGCAUGGAGUAGCAAUACUCUGAUGGCGACCGGCGCAAGGGUGCGUUACGCGUGAGCAACUUGCCCGCAUCUGGGACAUAACCGGUGGAAACGCCGACUAAUUUCCCAUAACAAGGGAUCCUGCAUGGGAACCCUUUGAAAGAUCCGUCGGAUGCGGAUAGGCUCGCGUGACAUUAGCUAGUUGGUGAGGUAACGGCCCACCAAGGCUACGAUGUCUAGGGGAACUGAGAGGUUGGUCCCCCACACUGGAACUGAGACACGGUCCAGACUCCUACGGGAGGCAGCAGUGAGGAAUAUUGGUCAAUGGGCGCAAGCCUGAACCAGCCAUGCCGCGUGAAGGAUUAAGGCCCUAUGGGUCGUAAACUUCUUUUGUACGGGAGCAAUAAGCCCCACGUGUGGGGUGAUGAGAGUACCGUACGAAUAAGCAUCGGCUAACUCCGUGCCAGCAGCCGCGGUAAUACGGAGGAUGCGAGCGUUAUCCGGAUUUAUUGGGUUUAAAGGGUGCGCAGGCGGCACGUUAAGUCAGCGGUGAAAUGUCGGGGCUCAACCCGGGCACUGCCGUUGAAACUGGCGAGCUUGAGUACGGAUGAAGUUGGCGGAAUGUGAUGUGUAGCGGUGAAAUGCUUAGAUAUGUCACAGAACACCGAUUGCGAAGGCAGCUGACUAAUCCGCAACUGACGCUCAGGCACGAAAGCGUGGGGAUCGAACAGGAUUAGAUACCCUGGUAGUCCACGCAGUAAACGAUGAAGGCUAGCUAUUAGCGAUAGACAGUUAGUGGCUAAGGGAAACCGAUAAGCCUUCCACCUGGGGAGUACGCCGGCAACGGUGAAACUCAAAGGAAUUGACGGGGGCCCGCACAAGCGGAGGAACAUGUGGUUUAAUUCGAUGAUACGCGAGGAACCUUACCCGGGCUUGAAAGUUAGCGACGGACCUGGAAACAGGUCUUCCCGCAAGGGCGCGAAACUAGGUGCUGCAUGGUUGUCGUCAGCUCGUGCCGUGAGGUGUCGGCUCAAGUGCCAUAACGAGCGCAACCCUUGUCAUCAGUUGCCAUCAUUAAGUUGGGGACUCUGGUGAGACUGCCGCCGCAAGGUGAGAGGAAGGGGGGGAUGACGUCAAAUCAGCACGGCCCUUACGUCCGGGGCGACACACGUGUUACAAUGGUGGGUACAGAGGGCGGCCAUCCGGCGACGGAGCGCAAAUCUCGAAAACCCAUCUCAGUUCGGAUUGGAGUCUGCAACUCGACUCCAUGAAGUUGGAUUCGCUAGUAAUCGCGCAUCAGCCAUGGCGCGGUGAAUACGUUCCCGGGCCUUGCACACACCGCCCGUCAAG
This 1394-nucleotide ribosomal RNA is filed under the name uncultured bacterium. Its description in RNAcentral is "bacterial SSU rRNA". It matches the Rfam family "Bacterial small subunit ribosomal RNA". The record is from RNAcentral.